CCUACGGGAGGCAGCAGUGAGGAAUAUUGGGCAAUGGGGGCAACCCUGACCCAGCCAUGCCGCGUGAGUGAAGAAGGUCUUCGGAUUGUAAAGCUCUUUCGGACGUGACGAUGAUGACGGUAGCGUCUAAAGAAGCACCGGCAAACUUCGUGCCAGCAGCCGCGGUAAUACGAAGGGUGCGAGCGUUAAUCGGAAUUACUGGGCGUAAAGCGCUCGUAGGCGGUAUGUCAAGUCAAGGGUGAAAUCCCCGCGCUCAACGUGGGAACUGCCUUUGAAACUGGCAAACUGGAGUGUGUGAGAGGAUAGUGGAAUUCCAGGUGUAGGAGUGAAAUCCGUAGAUAUCUGGAGGAACAUCAGUGGCGAAGGCGACUAUCUGGCACAUAACUGACGCUGAGGAGCGAAAGCGUGGGUAGCAAACAGGAUUAGAUACCCUUGUAGUC
Molecule: ribosomal RNA, 440 nt
Filed under: uncultured bacterium
Lineage: Bacteria
Description: partial 16S ribosomal RNA
Rfam family: Bacterial small subunit ribosomal RNA
Source: RNAcentral